Long non-coding RNA from Monomorium pharaonis (pharaoh ant), 2616 nucleotides. RefSeq lists it as uncharacterized. The transcript is spliced from 2 exons. NCBI's taxonomy places the organism in Eukaryota, Metazoa, Arthropoda, Insecta, Hymenoptera, Formicidae. The record is from RefSeq and is a predicted model, not a curated record.
AAAUUUCGCAGAUGUGCUCCGGUGCCGUCCUUAGACGCGCAUGCUGUUGUCGUCCGUCUGGGCAAACAAUAUCGAUCGCGUAUAUUCGCGAACCCCAAGAUCCCCGAAUAAUAAUAACCCCCCCCCCCCUCCCAACUCCCGAUCUCCUCUCGCUUUCUCUCAGCCGUAUUGUACGCGGCCGCUUCCUCCCGGACAGAAAGGAAGUUUCGAUCGAUUGUCGCGAACAACGCGUAGCCCGCGGUCGCUGAUGGUUCCCAUCACCUGACUACGUCCACGGACGUCGAGGUCGCGCAUCGUCGACAUGCACGUACGCACAUAAAUAAAAGCGCUCCGACCCGACUGUCGUUCACAUUCCUGCGUCCAGUGUAGAUUAACUCUUCCAAUCUCUCGGUUUAAUUUUAUUAAUUAAACCGAGUAAUUAAUAGUCUACGUUUCGACAUACGCUGGAGUUCAUGUUUUCAUAGUAAACUGCAGAGCUGUAGUAUUUAUCAAAAGGGAGAUAAAGAGCAAAUUGAACCGAGAUUAAAGUUAAUUUGCGUCGACAGAAACUGCAGGAGAUUGCAUUUUGCGACUUGCAGUUCAGCUUACGUGAACACGUCGCGACAUAAUCUUAUUGUUAGACGAAAAUAAAAAGAUCUUGGAAUGACUUCGACGAAACCUAAUCGUUAAUUAAUUCAUCAAGCAACCGCAUAAUCCCACAAUAAAAUAUAUUAUCGGCUUGCACGGAACUACCGGAAGGUUCUUGCUAUUUCUGCUAUGCUUGAAUAUGUAAAGGCGGAUUUAAAGAGAUAUAAACGAUAACAAAUACCGUUGCGGCCCUGAUAGGAAUAUUUUUGAUCAUUUUAUUAACUGAAAGCCUCUUUUAUUUGAUCCAUUUGAUUAGAAUUUAUAAAAUUAAUUUUUUUUAGAUAAUAAUAAAGUAAAUUUUAUUUUUAAUUUGUAAUGAAUUUAAUGAAUGUAUCUUAACGCCUCUUAAUGAAUCUUAAUUUUAAUAAAAAGUGGUUAACUGGGAAACAAUUUUCAAUUAUAUAUUUCCAUCAGGGGAGCGUUUUUGUGCAUGUUAAAUUAAUCUGGAGGUUUCGUCGAAGUCACCUUUGAACCCGUCAAUCACCUGUUCCUCUCUCUCAGUAACCGAAACGUUGACGAUAUGCUGCGAACUCAUCAGAGGAUUCGCACAGAAUGCCGCAACAGAAUUUCGGCGUCAGUUGUGCCCACAUUAAGCUUACGUUCUGCCAGAUGAUCUCUGCAAACGCGAGCAGAAAUUGGACGCAAUCCGUUAUUUCGUAAUAUACCAUUUAAAUGGCAAAGUUCUGCAAUCCAUUCGAUAUCUGUUAACAGAUUCUGUACUUUUACCGUUUUCGCUGGCAGUCUGCCGUAGAUAAUGCGUGUCUUGAAAAGUCCGCUCACAGAUUUUGUCGUUUAGAUCUGAACCAGAACGUCGUAAAUUUCAAGAUUACGUCUACGUAAUCGUUUACAUAUUUUUCAUGUAGACAGUACAAACUAUAUAUGUAAAUUUUAUUAUAAAUUGUAUAUACAAUUUAUAAUAAUUUACAUAUAUAAAUAACUUUACAUAUGUAUAAUUUAGAUAUAUAAAAAUAACAUUAAAAAAGGAGUAAUUUGUAAAAUUGUUAAUACAUCUAAUUUUAGUAUUGAUGAAAAAAAAAUAAAAAAUAGGUUAUAAUGUUUACUAUGAUCAGAAUCUUUGAUCUAUUGAUUAUUCUUUACAUAUUAUAUAACACGUAAAAUAUAGUUUACAAUUUAUAUUUUUGUAUACGCGUAAUAUAAAUUAUAUUUAUUGUUUAUUCAUUAUUAUUUAUUAUAUUUUAUAUUUAACGUGUAAAUACCUAAACUUAGCAAUUUUAAAACGUAAUAUUUAUACACACACGCAUACAUAUCGCUCAAUCGCUACAUAACUCAAAAAACAAUUUUUUUUUUAUUUUACAUGUUAUAAAUAUCAUUAAACUUGUAAUAUAAAUUUUCAAUGCAAUUUUGAUAUAGCAAUUUGAUUUACUGUUAUUAUAGAGGAAUAAAAAUAUCAUUAGCUCUUUACUCUUCUCUUGAUGUAUUCAAUUCUCGAUAGAAAUCUUUUUUUGCAGAUAACUCAAAAAUAUAAUUUUGAGUUUUUGUUAUUGUGGCGAAUAAAUUAUAAGUAUGUUAAAUAUACAUUGGUCGUUCUUUCUUUAUGUUUUUCAUCAAUUACACUGAUGUUCUUGAUUUCUAAACUAACGGUUUUGCAAAAUUGAUACUUUAUGUCUUUAUCUUUCUCCUUUUUCUCUUCUAUGAUUCGAGUAAUAAAAGAAAAUUGAAACACAAACCAACAUACUCGGCCUCAGAGAUUUUUCUUUUUUUUUUAAAUAUUAUUUUGUAUGUUUCUAGGACAUUUCGUCUCGUCCGACAGAAACGUGUCAUUUGUCAAACGUGAGCUGCGACAGCUGACAUCAUGACCAGUGCCGAUUAUAGCGGCUAUAUUUUACCUAUCUAACUACGUAUACAUAUAUGUUAUCUUGAGAACAUUCAAUACCGCUCGCUACAACUCACGUUAUAGUACCGUUUUUGCACCGGCUUUAAUGAUGGAUUACGUGGCGAUAAUUAAUUACAUUAAAACACUGAUCGAAA